GUGCGGUUACGAUCAGACUGCAAAGAUCACACAGGAGAACGGUAUUCACGAAAUGGUGCUGAUCGAGCCAUGUAGUGUUACCGAAAGGUGGAAGACCAGCGUUUUCUUUACUUGAACUUAUGUUGUCAUUUGAUGGUAGCUGUUUUGUUGCUUUGACUUGAAUUGUUUUCUAUGCCUUACGUGCAUAUUCUGUUGAUUGUUGUUUUGU
Molecule: long non-coding RNA, 208 nt
Filed under: Daucus carota (carrot)
Lineage: Eukaryota; Viridiplantae; Streptophyta; Magnoliopsida; Apiales; Apiaceae
Description: long non-coding RNA (DCAR_LNC000732)
Source: RNAcentral